UACGUAGGGUGCGAGCGUUGCCCGGAAUUAUUGGGCGUAAAGAGCUCGUAGGCGGUCUGUCGCGUCGGUCGUGAAAACUUGGGGCUUAACCCUGAGCUUGCGGUCGAUACGGGCAUGACUGGAGUUCGGCAGGGGAGACUGGAAUUCCUGGUGUAGCGGUGAAAUGCGCAGAUAUCAGGAGGAACACCGGUGGCGAAGGCGGGUCUCUGGGCCGAUACUGACGCUGAGGAGCGAAAGCGUGGGGAGCGAACAGG
RNAcentral lists this ribosomal RNA (254 nucleotides) under uncultured bacterium. RNAcentral describes it as "partial 16S ribosomal RNA". It matches the Rfam family "Bacterial small subunit ribosomal RNA", at positions 524 to 776 of the family's 1533-position model. The record is from RNAcentral.